UACAUUGGCAUCUGGGGAGGGGGGGGGCUCCAUGUGUGGUCACGUGAACUCCGAGAACGAACCUGGCUGAGCACAGUCGACCUUGUCACUGUCAUGACCCAAGGUGUCCUCUGUGACUGGACAUGGGGCGGGGUGCGUUACGUAGAUGACUCGUUAAGCUCUAGUGGCUAACUCAGUGCGUCCAUGAAGGCUGUGCGGAGAUGCGGCCGGCAGAAGGCAAACAUAGAUGACGCUGGGGAUAUCGGUGUAAAUACGGGUAUGGCCAGUUGGUCGAUACAGAAGGGUUUGUUUGAAGGCCUUCGCUCACACGAUUGUGGCUGCUGGCAAAUCCAAAAUCUAUAAGGCAGGCUGGCGGCUGGAGCCUCAGGCAGGAUUUCUACGAGGCAGAAUUUCUCCUCCUUCGGGAAACCUGCUUCCCCUCGGAAGGCCUUCUGUGGGCUGCGUGAUGUGCUCCCACAUGCUCAGGGGCAAGCUCCUUUAUUGGCUGUAGGCAUCGGCCACAUCCCCAAAACACCUGCCCAGCAACCCUGAGAUGACUGCUUGGGUUCGUCUCCAGGUACGCUAAGCCUGCCCACAUAAAACUGACUGCCACACACUGACGUUCUCCGGUGAGAGAUGGGAGACUCAGAGAGGCCACUUCCUUUGCCAGGGUUGUAGAGCAAUGGAAGGGCUUGAGUGGUCAGGUCUUUGGGUCUCAUUGCCUGUGGUUCUAAACUAGCAGAGUGUGGAAUGCCUCGGCUUCCACUGACCCUGUGGCCCCGGCAGGGCCUCCACCAUCAGGACCGCCGAGCACGCCCUCCUGCCAGGAGCGACGUCCUCCUUCCUGAGAAGUUUCUCGUGGGUGGGAGGGAUGGGAACCGGACUCUUGACACCUCCCUGGUGCCCCAGCCCCACCCUCGCAAGGCGGACCACCCAGAAGGUUCUUCCGGCCCCUUUUCCAAAGCCCUCCUGCCUCACUUAACCCAGCCCAGGUUAACUGAUGACUGUGGGAAGAGAUGUUUCCAGCAGCACACUGUCUUGUAAUCCAAGGGGCCCUGGAAAAAGGGGUUUCGCAGCGGCACUGUGGUCUCAGAGUCCAUGCGAGAGGAAACACAUCUGUCCCUGUAUUUUCCGCAGACACCCCCCCUCGCCUCCCCCACGUCCCCACAGGCUGUCAUAUUGUUUCCAGUUGUGUUUAUGGUAAACUCAGGCCAUAACACGCCUCUGUCGUUGUAAAAGAUGGAAAGAGUCUUAGGAGAGAAAUUUUCAUCCCAGGCCUUUCAAGCGGCAUUUUCCCGGUGGUAGAGGUGAAUGGGAAACAUGAAGCAGCUGCCUGCAGGAACGUUUUUCCCUCUGUGGCAAGGAUAAACAGUGAAAGGCGUUUGCUGAAGAUGGAAAGAGACACUGUGCAAACCAAUAUGCACAGCUCCUGAGGCCUGUGCUGGGGGCCGUGGCUUGCUGACGUCUCUCCAAAUACGCAAGUCAGAGAAGGGCUGACUCACAGGUCAUGGAUUGCAAAAAAUAUGGCACAAGCCUGACUUCGAACUUUCAAAGGGACAAGGACGUGCACGCCACAGCCACAGCCCCAGACCAGGGUGUAGGCCGUGGGGCUCCAGCUCCCUUCUGGGCAUCACUGCUGUGUGUCCUUGGGAGAGUGUCUCCGCCUCUCUGGCACCUCCCUUCACUCUGGAAACCUGUCCAUCAGGCCAGGGGACUGGGGUGGCGUGCGGCCUACCUCCUCCCACCUUCCGAGCCCAACCCCAAAACUGGAUAAGCAGUCAGCUUGCACUCUGAACCCAGAACUGAAACGAGGAUUAAGCUUCGCUUUGUGCGUGCCACAAACCAGACACCACAUCCAACCUCCGGCUCUAGGGCCAGGAACUCCAAUCACCAAGCAUUUUUGGAAAACCAAAUCAAAGCUAGAUGGCUUUUCUAACAUGUUAUAUUGUAUUAAAGAUUGAAAAUGACAUUGAGAAGUAAAAAUAAAUUGGAAAUAACUGGAAAAAUCUAAAUGUCCAGUAACAUUGGGGGAUUCAUUAAAAAUUCUGACCCAAUGGAACGUCGACGAGCCACCACAAUGACCUUUUUAAAGAAUGU
This 2076-nucleotide long non-coding RNA is filed under the name Homo sapiens (human). RNAcentral's name for it is "novel transcript". The record is from RNAcentral. Lineage: Eukaryota; Metazoa; Chordata; Mammalia; Primates; Hominidae.